GACUUCUAUAUGUCAGGACGGGCAAGAAUGAAAUUUUUAGUAAGAGGAAAAUCCGUCGACUUUAAAAAUCGUGAGG
This 76-nucleotide transfer RNA is filed under the name Cuscuta japonica (Japanese dodder). RNAcentral describes it as "partial tRNA-Leu". The record is from RNAcentral. Lineage: Eukaryota; Viridiplantae; Streptophyta; Magnoliopsida; Solanales; Convolvulaceae.